RNAcentral lists this transfer RNA (73 nucleotides) under Plecotus auritus (brown big-eared bat). RNAcentral's name for it is "tRNA-Asn". It matches the Rfam family "tRNA". From Rfam's summary of the family: Transfer RNA (tRNA) molecules are approximately 80 nucleotides in length. The record is from RNAcentral. Lineage: Eukaryota; Metazoa; Chordata; Mammalia; Chiroptera; Vespertilionidae.
UAGAUUGAAGCCAGUUGUUUAGGGUAUUUAGCUGUUAACUAAUUUUUCAUGGGUUCUAAUCCCAUCAAUCUAG